AGCGAACGCUGGUGGCAGGCCUAACACAUGCAAGUCGAACGAACCUUUCGGGGUUAGUGGCGGACGGGUGAGUAACACGUGGGAACGUGCCUUUAGGUUCGGAAUAACUCAGGGAAACUUGUGCUAAUACCGAAUGUGCCCUUCGGGGGAAAGAUUUAUCGCCUUUAGAGCGGCCCGCGUCUGAUUAGCUAGUUGGUUGAGGUAAUGGCUCACCAAGGCGACGAUCAGUAGCUGGUCUGAGAGGAUGAUCAGCCACAUUGGGACUGGGACACGGCCCAAACUCCUACGGGAGGCAGCAGUGGGGAAUCUUGCGCAAUGGGCGAAAGCCUGACGCAGCCAUGCCGCGUGAAUGAUGAAGGUCUUAGGAUUGUAAAAUUCUUUCACCGGGGACGAUAAUGACGGUACCCGGAGAAGAAGCCCCGGCUAACUUCGUG
This 434-nucleotide ribosomal RNA is filed under the name uncultured bacterium. Its description in RNAcentral is "partial 16S ribosomal RNA". It matches the Rfam family "Bacterial small subunit ribosomal RNA", at positions 29 to 507 of the family's 1533-position model. The record is from RNAcentral.